Molecule: ribosomal RNA, 513 nt
Filed under: uncultured bacterium
Lineage: Bacteria
Description: partial 16S ribosomal RNA
Rfam family: Bacterial small subunit ribosomal RNA
Source: RNAcentral
AUUGAACGCUGGCGGCAGGCCUAAUACAUGCAAGUCGAGCGAACAGAUGAAGUGCUUGCACUUCUGACGUUAGCGGCGAACGGGUGAGUAACACGUAAGGAAUCUACCUAUAAGCGGGGGAUAACAUUCGGAAACGGGUGCUAAUACCGCAUAAUAUCUUCUUCCGCAUGGAAGAAGAUUGAAAGACGGCUCUGCUGUCACUUAUAGAUGACCUUGCGGUGCAUUAGUUAGUUGGUGGGGUAAUGGCCUACCAAGACGAUGAUGCAUAGCCGACCUGAGAGGGUGAUCGGCCACAUUGGGACUGAGACACGGCCCAAACUCCUACGGGAGGCAGCAGUAGGGAAUCUUCCGCAAUGGGCGAAAGCCUGACGGAGCAAUGCCGCGUGAGUGAAGAAGGCCUUCGGGUCGUAAAACUCUGUUAUAAGAGAAGAACAAAUUGUAGAGUAACUGCUACAGUCUUGACGGUAUCUUAUCAGAAAGCCACGGCUAACUACGUGCCAGCCGCCGCCGUAA